AGGCCUGUAGCUCAAAGGACUAGAGCACGUCUCUACGAACCACGGUUUCGGGGGUUCGAAUCCCUCCUCGCCCA
Molecule: transfer RNA, 74 nt
Filed under: Amborella trichopoda
Lineage: Eukaryota; Viridiplantae; Streptophyta; Magnoliopsida; Amborellales; Amborellaceae
Rfam family: tRNA
About the family: Transfer RNA (tRNA) molecules are approximately 80 nucleotides in length. Their secondary structure includes four short double-helical elements and three loops (D, anti-codon, and T loops). Further hydrogen bonds mediate the characteristic L-shaped molecular structure. tRNAs have two regions of fundamental functional importance: the anti-codon, which is responsible for specific mRNA codon recognition, and the 3' end, to which the tRNAs corresponding amino acid is attached (by aminoacyl-tRNA synthetases). tRNAs cope with the degeneracy of the genetic code in two manners: having more than one tRNA (with a specific anti-codon) for a particular amino acid; and 'wobble' base-pairing, i.e. permitting non-standard base-pairing at the 3rd anti-codon position.
Source: Rfam by way of RNAcentral